UCCGUCGUCGUCUAGUCCGGUUAGGAUAUCUGGCUUUCACCCAGGCGACCCGGGUUCAAAUCCCGGCGACGGAA
RNAcentral lists this transfer RNA (74 nucleotides) under Asparagus officinalis (garden asparagus). RNAcentral describes it as "tRNA A4U43_Glu158". It matches the Rfam family "tRNA". From Rfam's summary of the family: Transfer RNA (tRNA) molecules are approximately 80 nucleotides in length. Their secondary structure includes four short double-helical elements and three loops (D, anti-codon, and T loops). The record is from Rfam by way of RNAcentral. Lineage: Eukaryota; Viridiplantae; Streptophyta; Magnoliopsida; Asparagales; Asparagaceae.